This 336-nucleotide unclassified non-coding RNA is filed under the name soil metagenome. RNAcentral's name for it is "partial contains 5.8S ribosomal RNA, internal transcribed spacer 2, and large subunit ribosomal RNA". The stretch from base 1 to 120 matches the Rfam family "5.8S ribosomal RNA", at positions 35 to 154 of the family's 154-position model. The record is from RNAcentral.
GAUGAAGAACGUAGCGAAAUGCGAUAAGUAAUGUGAAUUGCAGAAUUCAGUGAAUCAUCGAAUCUUUGAACGCACAUUGCGCCCGCCAGUAUUCUGGCGGGCAUGCCUGUUCAAGCGUCAUUUCAACCAUCAAGCCCCAGGCUUGUGUUGGGGACCUGCGGCUGCCGCAGGCCCUGAAAACCAGUGGCGGGCUCGCUGUCACACCGGGCGUAGUAGAUUUUAUCUCGCUCAGGGCGUGCUGCGGGUUCCGGCCGUUAAAAAGCCUUUUUUACCCAAGGUUGACCUCGGAUCAGGUAGGAAUACCCGCUGAACUUAAGCAUAUCAAUAAGCGGAGGA